GAUGAACGCUGGCGGCGUGCCUAAUACAUGCAAGUCGAGCGAACGGACGAGAAGCUUGCUUCUCUGAUGUUAGCGGCGGACGGGUGAGUAACACGUGGAUAACCUACCUAUAAGACUGGGAUAACUUCGGGAAACCGGAGCUAAUACCGGAUAAUAUUUUGAACCGCAUGGUUCAAAAGUGAAAGACGGUCCUGCUGUCACUUAUAGAUGGAUCCGCGCUGCAUUAGCUAGUUGGUAAGGUAACGGCUUACCAAGGCAACGAUGCAUUGCCGACCUGAGAGGGUGAUCGGCCACACUGGAACUGAGACACGGUCCAGACUCCUACGGGAGGCAGCAGUAGGGAAUCUUCCGCAAUGGGCGAAAGCCUGACGGAGCAACGCCGCGUGAGUGAUGAAGGUCUUCGGAUCGUAAAACUCUGUUAUUAGGGAAGAACAUAUGUGUAAGUAACUGUGCACAUCUUGACGGUACCUAAUCAGAAAGCCACGGCUAACUACGUG
RNAcentral lists this ribosomal RNA (497 nucleotides) under uncultured bacterium. Its description in RNAcentral is "partial 16S ribosomal RNA". It matches the Rfam family "Bacterial small subunit ribosomal RNA", at positions 28 to 507 of the family's 1533-position model. The record is from RNAcentral.